Molecule: non-coding RNA, 1017 nt
Organism: Oryza sativa Japonica Group (Japanese rice)
Lineage: Eukaryota; Viridiplantae; Streptophyta; Magnoliopsida; Poales; Poaceae
Source: RefSeq, a predicted model, not a curated record
CUCUCCUCUCUUUGAUAUCCUCACCCCUCUCUUUUUCUCUCUUCUUCUCCCUCCGUCCCUCACUCUCUUUCUCUUUCUCUUCCUCUCUCUCUCUUUCUCUCCUCUACGCGCAACACGCAGCCUAGGAGGAGGCGCCGAGAGCGGGCGGCCGGCGGCCCCGAGCAGUGGGCGGCGGGCGGUGUGGCCGUGGAGCUGGCGUUGGGAGUGGGCGGCGGGUGGUGUCGAGCAGCGGUCGGUGGGCGGCGCCGCGACGAGGACGAGGCGGCAAGCGCCACGGCGAGGAGGAGGCGCCGGGAGCGGGCGGCGGGCGGCAGGCGCCGCGGCCGAGCAGCGGGCGCCGGGCCGCAGCAACAAGGAGCGGCGCCGCCCCGCGAUGCGGACUCCGGCGGCGGCGGUGGGCGAGGGCCAUGAUGGGGACGGGCGUGGGCACUCCCCCACCUGAAUCCGCCGCCGGCUACCUUCCCCCGUCCCAAUCUACCGGCGGCGGCCCUCCCCCACCCUGAUCUACGGGCCGCCGCCCUCCCUCGCCCCGAUCUUCCUCUGUCUCCUGAAGCGGUGCCUCCCGCUGGCUUCCGUCGUCAAGCUCGGUGGCGGCCAUAUCCGACCGCCAUGAGCUCGUCGGUAGGCCGAUCCAGCUGCCAUCAGCAGCACCAGUAUACCCUGGGACGAUCCGGCCACCAUCAACAACACCAACAUCAUCUUAGCUUUCUUUGAUGGAUGUGAAGCAAAUUAAGUAUGAAGACGUGCCACCCACUGCAGUUGAUCUUUUCAAGGAGUGCCUUUGCUGCAACAAGAUCGGUUUUUGUGAUGCACCAAACUUGUUUAUUUUGCUAUUGUCAAUGCACUUGUAUAAGAACCUGUUUUGAUCACUGAGUUUUGGUCAGUGAACCUGCAUGUAUGUAUGUUAUUGGGCUUGUGGUAUAUUGGAUGUUAACUGGUCUUGUAUAACCUUUGUGAUAUAUGGGCCUACUAGGCCGUUAUUUCGUAUAAUGCUUGGGCCUAUAUGGGCUUUAGAAA